GGGGUGUAUAGCUCAGUGGUAGAGCAUUCGGCUGCAGACUGAGAGGUCUCCGGUUCAAACCCGAGUGUCCCCU
RNAcentral lists this transfer RNA (73 nucleotides) under Trichonephila inaurata madagascariensis. RNAcentral's name for it is "tRNA-Cys". It matches the Rfam family "tRNA". Rfam says of the family: Transfer RNA (tRNA) molecules are approximately 80 nucleotides in length. Their secondary structure includes four short double-helical elements and three loops (D, anti-codon, and T loops). Further hydrogen bonds mediate the characteristic L-shaped molecular structure. tRNAs have two regions of fundamental functional importance: the anti-codon, which is responsible for specific mRNA codon recognition, and the 3' end, to which the tRNAs corresponding amino acid is attached (by aminoacyl-tRNA synthetases). tRNAs cope with the degeneracy of the genetic code in two manners: having more than one tRNA (with a specific anti-codon) for a particular amino acid; and 'wobble' base-pairing, i.e. permitting non-standard base-pairing at the 3rd anti-codon position. The record is from RNAcentral. Lineage: Eukaryota; Metazoa; Arthropoda; Arachnida; Araneae; Nephilidae.